UGUUAAAAUUUUUAUCUAUUCGUACUGUUAAAAAUUGGUGUGCCUGACGAAAUAAUUAGAUAGUGACAUGUGUUGUGCCACACGUAUGUCAUGCUAACGCACAAAGGCCAAUUUUUAACAACAACAAUGGAUGAAAUUUUUAACA
Non-coding RNA from Gossypium hirsutum (cotton), 145 nucleotides. The record is from Rfam. Lineage: Eukaryota; Viridiplantae; Streptophyta; Magnoliopsida; Malvales; Malvaceae.